This 329-nucleotide ribosomal RNA is filed under the name uncultured eukaryote. RNAcentral's name for it is "partial 18S ribosomal RNA". It matches the Rfam family "Eukaryotic small subunit ribosomal RNA", at positions 1470 to 1796 of the family's 1831-position model. The record is from RNAcentral.
CCCUUAGAUGUUCUGGGCCGCACGCGCGCUACACUGACAGAGCCAGCGAGUCUACCACCUUUGCCGGAAGGCAUGGGUAAUCUUGUGAAACUCUGUCGUGAUGGGGAUAGAACAUUGCAAUUAUUGUUCUUCAACGAGGAAUACCUAGUAAGCGUGAUUCAUCAGAUCACGUUGAUUACGUCCCUGCCCUUUGUACACACCGCCCGUCGCUACUACCGAUUGAAUGGCUUAGUGAGGCCUCCGGAUUGGCUAUUGGGAGCUCGCGAGAGCACCCGACUGCCGAGAAGUUGUACGAACUUGGUCAUUUAGAGGAAGUAAAAGUCGUAACA